GUGGCCACUUCGGCAGCACAUAUACUAAGAUUGAAAUGACGCAGACAAAACUAGCACAGCCCCUGCUCAAAGAUGACAUGUGAAUUCAUCACGUACUCCACAUUUUU
Molecule: small nuclear RNA, 107 nt
Organism: Lepus europaeus (European hare)
Lineage: Eukaryota; Metazoa; Chordata; Mammalia; Lagomorpha; Leporidae
Source: RefSeq, a predicted model, not a curated record